GCAAGCCUGACGGAGCAACGCCGCGUGAGGGACGAAGGCCUUUGGGCUGUAAACCUCUUUUCUCAAGGAAGAAGAUCUGACGGUACUUGAGGAAUAAGCCACGGCUAAUUCCGUGCCAGCAGCCGCGGUAAUACGGGAGUGGCAAGCGUUAUCCGGAAUUAUUGGGCGUAAAGCGUCCGCAGGCGGCCGUUUAAGUCUGUUGUUAAAUCGUGGAGCUCAACUCCAUCACGGCAAUGGAAACUGUUCGGCUUGAGUACGGUAGGGGCAGAGGGAAUUUCCGGUGUAGCGGUGAAAUGCGUAGAUAUCGGGAAGAACACCAGUGGCAAAAGCGCUCUGCUGGGCCAUUACUGACGCUCAUGGACGAAAGCCAGGGGAGCGAAAGGGAUUAGAUACCCCUGUAGUCCUGGCCGUAAACGAUGAACACUAGAUGUUGGGGGAAUCGACCCCUCCGAUGUCGUAGCUAACGCGUUAAGUGUUCCGCCUGGGGAGUACGCACGCAAGUGUGAAACUCAAAGGAAUUGACGGGGGCCCGCACAAGCGGUGGAGUAUGUGGUUUAAUUCGAUGCAACGCGAAGAACCUUACCAAGGCUUGACAUCCUGCGAAUCUCCAAGAAACUGGAGAGUGCCUUCGGGAACGCAGUGACAGGUGGUGCAUGGCUGUCGUCAGCUCGUGUCGUGAGAUGUUGGGUUAAGUCCCGCAACGAGCGCAACCCACGUUUUUAGUUGCCAGCAUUCAGUCGGGCACUCUAGAAAGACUGCCGGUGACAAACCGGAGGAAGGUGUGGACGACGUCAAGUCAUCAUGCCCCUUACGCCUUGGGCUACACACGUACUACAAUGCUGCGGACAAAGAGUAGCGAUCUUGCGAAAGUUAGCUAAUCUCGUAAACCGUGGCUCAGUUCAGAUCGUAGGCUGCAACUCGCCUACGUGAAGGAGGAAUCGCUAGUAAUCGCAGGUCAGCAUACUGCGGUGAAUACGUUCCCGGGCCUUGUACACACCGCCCGUCACACCAUGGAAGUUGGCC
RNAcentral lists this ribosomal RNA (1023 nucleotides) under uncultured cyanobacterium. Its description in RNAcentral is "bacterial SSU rRNA". It matches the Rfam family "Bacterial small subunit ribosomal RNA", at positions 377 to 1416 of the family's 1533-position model. The record is from RNAcentral. Lineage: Bacteria; Bacillati; Cyanobacteriota.